UUUGUUACUUUUCUCUAAGAAACUGUUAAUCUUUACUAGAAGCUAAAGAAUUGGAAGUUAGGACUUGAAUUUGGUGACUAGGUUACUGUUAUUUGAGUUUCUGCAGGAACUUUACUAUGGAAACUGUGAAUGAAGGGUGCUUAAAGUGCUUAAAAAUUAGUGGUAGAUGCUGGAAAUUGCUUGUAUGUGCUGAAAUAAUAGUCUGUAAGUGCUGAAACUGGGUUUAAUUUGCUAAAACUGAAGAUAGGUGCAGGAAACAUGAAUUAGAGGUGCUGAAUCUGUUAAUAGGUUGCUGAAAAACUGCUGUUUGGAUGCUGAAAGCGCUUAAAUAACUGCUGGAAAUCACUAGAAAGCACAGGGAAUAUGUUUUAUGUGCAGGGAAUUGAUAGUGAAUGCUGAAAAUAAGAAUUAUAGGUGCUGUAACUGUGCAAUAGUUGCUGGAAAUUAUUGUAUUUCCUGAGAACAUGCCUCAAAGUGCUGUGAUAUGUGUUUAUAGUUGCUGAAAAUAUGAGUUAGAUGCCAAAUUUGACUAAACUGGAUGAUGUGUUGUUGAGAAUUAGUAUAAAAGGGAAGUUGAAGCUUGUAGUGGCUUUGGUGCGGUUAUUCAAUACUUUGUUAUGAGAAUUUAGACUUUGUGCUCAUAUGUGUGGAUUAUAUGCUAGGUUUGGAGGCGACAACGAGCACCGCGACUCCACGUAGGGAGUGAGCUUGUGUUGGUUUUUCUUUUUGUUGGAGACCGAGUUUUGCAGGUAUAGGUCGGUGUCCACCACAGGUCGCGUUUUGCGUUUGUGACUCGCUCAAGGAGUGCGUGGUUGAGGCCUGUGGGAGUCUUUGUCUCCCGGCCGUUAGUUGAUAUUUGCUUAGUUUAGUUUUGGACAAUAGUUGGUUAUGUAAAGUUUAUUUCUUGACAGACUUCCGCUGUAGUUUGUAAAUGAAAGUUAUUUUGAGAUGUAAAUAAAAUGUGGCUGUUGAACUUCAGUUUU
Long non-coding RNA from Rhododendron vialii, 983 nucleotides. RefSeq lists it as uncharacterized. The transcript is spliced from 2 exons. Lineage: Eukaryota; Viridiplantae; Streptophyta; Magnoliopsida; Ericales; Ericaceae. The record is from RefSeq and is a predicted model, not a curated record.